Molecule: ribosomal RNA, 324 nt
Filed under: uncultured eukaryote
Lineage: Eukaryota
Description: partial 18S ribosomal RNA
Rfam family: Eukaryotic small subunit ribosomal RNA
Source: RNAcentral
CCCUUAGAUGUUCUGGGCCGCACGCGCGCUACACUGAUGCAUUCAACGAGCACCCGCUGGGCCGAGAGGUCCGGCUAAUCUUUGAACGUGCAUCGUGCUGGGGAUAGAUGAUUGCAAUUAUUCAUCUUCAACGAGGAAUUCCUAGUAAACGCAAGUCAUCAGCUUGCAUUGAUUACGUCCCUGCCCUUUGUACACACCGCCCGUCGCACCUACCGAUUGAAUGGUCCGGUGAAAUUCUCGGACGCGGACUUGCGAUGUUAAUUCAGAGCUUGACUGUGAAAGUUAAUUAAACCUUACCAUUUAGAGGAAGGUGAAGUCGUAACA